GAGCACGGUAAGGAUUGACGGACUGAAGGCUCUUUCUCGAUUCCGUGGAAAGUGGUGCAUGGCCGUUUUGGUUGGUGGAUCGAUCCGUCUGGUUAAUUCCGUUUAACGAACGAGACCUCGGCACUCCGAAUAGCGCGGCGGACGUCGCGGCCUCCGGGCCGUCUUCCGCACGAGCUUCUUAGAGGGGACCGUCCCCCGCCGGGGAAGGAGGUGCGAGGCAACGACAGGUCUGUGAUGCCCCUUAGAUGUUCUGGGCCGCACGCGCAUUUACACUGACGCGUCCAACGGGUGACUCCCGACCCCGAAGGGGCCGGGGAAGUCCGCAAGGCGCGUCGUGAUGGGGAGUUGAACGUUUGCAAUUGUUGUUCACGAACGAGGAAUUCCUAGUAGGCGCGGGUCAUCAACCCGCGCCGAUUACGUCCCUGCCCUUUGUACACACCG
This 441-nucleotide ribosomal RNA is filed under the name uncultured eukaryote. RNAcentral's name for it is "bacterial SSU rRNA". It matches the Rfam family "Eukaryotic small subunit ribosomal RNA", at positions 1226 to 1671 of the family's 1831-position model. The record is from RNAcentral.